This is a long non-coding RNA of Dalotia coriaria, 309 nucleotides long. RefSeq lists it as uncharacterized. The transcript is spliced from 2 exons. The record is from RefSeq and is a predicted model, not a curated record. Lineage: Eukaryota; Metazoa; Arthropoda; Insecta; Coleoptera; Staphylinidae.
GGAUAAUUUAUUGAUUACUGAAGAUGGAUGCGUCAACUGGACUGAAGUUCCAAGAACUGCCCAAGAAAUUAAAGAUUGGAUUGCCGGCGAUGAUUCCAAAUACGAUUGAAUGAAUUUACAACAUUUUGAAGCUGUUAUUGAUAUAAUUUUUGCUUAUUUUGUUAAAGUUAUAAAAAGAAUAUUAUAUAAUUGCAUAUUAUUAUUCUAUUUUCUUGCUUGUAUUGUUAAAAACGCUGUAUAUAUUGAGAAAUUGAAUUUGUGGUGUGUCAUGCUUCAAUAAAAUUGUUGUUUUAUAUUUUUAACUAUAAA